GAGCCUCUGGAAGUAUCCAAAUGUCAAUAAAUUAGCUAAUGCUCGCUGGGCCUUUACACGUCAUUUUCUGGGGAUGACUUCUUUGAAAAUGCAGACCAAUAGUUCUCCAAGUGUGGUUCCUGGUCCAACAGAGAGUAGCAUCACCUGGGAGCUUAUGAGAAAUGCAAUUCUCAGGCCUCACCCCAUACCUCCUGAAUCAGAAACUGGGCAAGUUUGAAAAUUACCAGGGUUUUUUCAACCUAGACACUAUUGACAUCGUUGAGUGUUUAGCAGCAUGCUAGCUCUUACCUACUGAAGCAGCUAAUGCGCUACCGAACACCCAAGUUGGUUCUCAGGAAAUACCAUUGUACCCAGUGACACGGUCAACUUGCACCAUUACCUCCUCAAGCCCAACACUAUAUCUGAAUUCUGGGGAGGAGACAGAACUUAAGGCUAAAGUGGGAUCACAGGCAAGUGGGAUCCUUGAGAUUCUUCACAAUUUAAAGCCUGGUGCAGACACAGAUGAGCCAUUAACCUGGGGAGCCCCAUGUUGAAGAUGAUGGAGCCAUGAGAUGGAGGAACCUGUUUCCUGGAAUCAGGAAGAGGACCACAGCGGAUCGAUGUCACCCAUUUUGGCUUUUACAUUUGUGAAGAUUUCUACUGUUUGGGACAAUACACAUUUUUGAAAUCUGUUUAUAAUAGCAGAUAAUGAUACUUUAAUUAAUGUUAUCACUUAUUAAUAAAAGGAAGAUCAAAACCUAAAUUUCAAUUAACUCAUGUUUAUGAUGAGUUGAUUUCCAGAGGAUUAAAAUUUUCUUACAA
Long non-coding RNA from Aethalodelphis obliquidens (Pacific white-sided dolphin), 801 nucleotides. RefSeq lists it as uncharacterized. The transcript is spliced from 4 exons. The record is from RefSeq and is a predicted model, not a curated record. Lineage: Eukaryota; Metazoa; Chordata; Mammalia; Artiodactyla; Delphinidae.